Molecule: ribosomal RNA, 250 nt
Filed under: uncultured prokaryote
Description: partial 16S ribosomal RNA
Rfam family: Bacterial small subunit ribosomal RNA
Source: RNAcentral
UACGUAGGAUGCAAGCGUUAUCCGGAUUUACUGGGUGUAAAGGGUGCGUAGGCGGACUUUCAAGUUGGAUGUGAAAACCCGGGGCUCAACCCCGUGAUUGCAUCCAAAACUGUAGGUCUUGAUUGGAGUAGAGGUAAGUGGAAUUCCGAGUGUAGCGGUGAAAUGCGCAGAUAUUCGGAAGAACACCGGUGGCGAAGGCGACUUACUGGACUGUAACUGACAUUGAGGCACGAAAGCGUGGGGAGCAAAC